Molecule: ribosomal RNA, 332 nt
Filed under: uncultured bacterium
Lineage: Bacteria
Description: bacterial SSU rRNA
Rfam family: Bacterial small subunit ribosomal RNA
Source: RNAcentral
UGCGUAGGCGGUUGGGUAAGUCUGACGUGAAAUCUCCGGGCCUAACCCGGAAACUGCGUUGGAUACUAUUCAGCUAGAGGAAUGGAGGGGAGACUGGAAUACUUGGUGUAGCAGUGAAAUGCGUAGAUAUCAAGUGGAACACCAGUGGCGAAGGCGAGUCUCUGGACAUUUCCUGACGCUGAGGCACGAAAGCCAGGGGAGCAAACGGGAUUAGAUACCCCGGUAGUCCUGGCCCUAAACGGUGCACGUUUGCUGUAAGCGGAAUCGACCCCGCUUGUGGCGUAGUUAACACGAUAAACGUGCCGCCUGGGAAGUACGGCCGCAAGGUUAAA